CGAACGUUGGCGGCGUGCUUAACACAUGCAAGUCGAACGAGAAAGUUCCUUCGGGGACGAGUAAAGUGGCGCACGGGUGAGUAACGCGUAAGUAAUCUACCCUUGCAUCUGGAAUAACUACGGGAAGCUGUAGCUAAUACCGGAUACGUUCUCCAUUCUACGGGAUGGAGAAGAAAGAUGACCUCUUCUUGAAAGUUAUCGUGCAGGGAGGAGCUUGCGUACCAUUAGCUAGUUGGUAGGGUAAUGGCCUACCAAGGCAACGAUGGUUAGCGGGUCUGAGAGGAUGAUCCGCCACACUGGAACUGGAACACGGACCAGACUCCUACGGGAGGCAGCAGUGAGGAAUAUUGCGCAAUGGGGGAAACCCUGACGCAGCGACGCCGCGUGGAUGAUGAAGGCCUUAGGGUCGUAAAAUCCUGUCAGGUGGGAAGAAAUGUAUAGGGGAAUAAUACCUCUUAUGCUUGACGGUACCACCAGAGGAAGCACCGGCUAACUCC
This 497-nucleotide ribosomal RNA is filed under the name uncultured bacterium. RNAcentral's name for it is "bacterial SSU rRNA". It matches the Rfam family "Bacterial small subunit ribosomal RNA", at positions 30 to 504 of the family's 1533-position model. The record is from RNAcentral.